GGGUCUGUAGCUCAGUCGGUUAGAGCGCUGUCUUGAUAGGGCGGGGGUCGUUGGUUCGAUCCCGUCCACCUCCA
RNAcentral lists this transfer RNA (74 nucleotides) under Robbsia andropogonis. RNAcentral's name for it is "Burkholderia andropogonis tRNA". It matches the Rfam family "tRNA". Rfam says of the family: Transfer RNA (tRNA) molecules are approximately 80 nucleotides in length. Their secondary structure includes four short double-helical elements and three loops (D, anti-codon, and T loops). The record is from Rfam by way of RNAcentral. Lineage: Bacteria; Pseudomonadati; Pseudomonadota; Betaproteobacteria; Burkholderiales; Burkholderiaceae.